Lupinus angustifolius (narrow-leaved blue lupine) is the source of this 111-nucleotide microRNA precursor. Lineage: Eukaryota; Viridiplantae; Streptophyta; Magnoliopsida; Fabales; Fabaceae. The record is from Rfam.
AAAGUGGAAUAAAGCCAAGGAUGACUUGCCGGUAUUAAUUUACUACAAAGCUAAGAUGAUAGAUUGCUUGGUUUUCCCGGCAAGUUAUCCUAAGGCUAUAUUCGGCUUUCU